Molecule: long non-coding RNA, 1099 nt
Filed under: Heterocephalus glaber (naked mole-rat)
Lineage: Eukaryota; Metazoa; Chordata; Mammalia; Rodentia; Bathyergidae
Description: lncRNA (ENSHGLG00000040653.1)
Source: RNAcentral
CCCGCGAUUACGCAACGAUGAGAACGCAGCUCUAGGCCGGUCUGGAAAGGCAGCACAGUUGGGCCCAAGUGGCCCAACUCCCUGGAGGAGAGGACGGGCUCUGAAGACUCUUCCGGCUGCCCCUGAAACCCUGAAACCGCUUAGUUGUUUUUCUGGUUGACUAGCUGCUGCACGCAACUGUCAGCUGCUUGUGAACUGUGUGACGCCAGUUCGCGCUCCUGUUUGUUUUCUAAAAGGUGAGCCUAAUGACAAAGUCAACAAUUGUUCAGAAGACCUGCAUUCACCAGAAAGAAUAUUUUUACCAAUAUUCAGAUGAUCACAUUUUAAAAUUCAGCACGGACUGAGUUUUUAUACAUUCUGCACACCCCAAAACAGGGGAAGACCACCACAGCGUGCACAGGAGGAAAAAAGUCAGACUGUGCAAUCAUUAUGCAAUAAUGCAUUAAUAAUAUAUGGUUUAUUGAACCAAAAAAGACUUUGGCCAAACUCCCAGUCAUUUAACCCAUUGAGUGGUUUUAAGUUAUAUAGCCACCGAAGAAGAAAUUACCUGAGGAAGAAUAGAGUAAACCUACCAGGAACCUCCUCAGUUACCUAAAGCAAUGCCUCUAAGAAGCAUGGAGAAGAAGCUCAGUGUGGAAAUGGAGAAAACCAACUUGUUCAUCUAAAGCUGAGUCUCAGGGACUAUUUGGCACAGAGCUAUGAACCUGGGGGACUGGAAAAGUCAGAAACUUAGCAGGAACUGAACUUUGCUGUCUCCCUUGGCUUUGAGUGAGAUCCUGAGGCUGCCAGAAGGGAAAGAAGGACAGGCACCCAUUUGACACCAGGAUAUUGCUAAGAUGCCAGUCUGGGGUUUUCAUCACAGAGAUCCUGAAGUUUCUACACUGUGAAAUCUAUACUCCAAAUUAAACUGCCUUCCAAAGUUCCAGCUCCAGACCAACAGUACCAAGGACAGCUCUCUAUAGUGGGGAAAAUACACUUCUGAAACAGAAAGGCCAAGCAAGGGCUGUAACUCUCAAGGCCCCUCUCAUUAGUGUGACCUCUUCAUCCAAAAAAGGUGACUCUAUAUUUUAUUUCCACAUUGAUUGCCAGAAAGGAUGAU